GACGAACGCUGGCGGCGUGCUUAACACAUGCAAGUCGAACGGAAAGGCCUGCUUUCCCUUGUGGAUUGCGGGUACUCGAGUGGCUAACGGGUGAGUAACACGUGAGUUAUCUGCCCCCAACUUGGGUAUAAGCCUGGGAAACUGUGUCUAAUUCCCGAUAGGACUGCAGGGUGGUUCCUGUGGUGGAAAACGAUUUUCUUGUGGUUGGGGAUGAGCUCGCGGCCUAUCAGCUUGUUGGUGGGGUAAUGGCCUACCAAGGCGGGGACGGGUAGCCGGCCUGAGAGGGGGGACAGGCAAAUGGGGACAGAGAUAAGGGGCAGACGGGUACGGGAGGCAGGAGAGGGGAAAAAUGGACAAGGGGGGGAAGACUGAAGCAGCGACGCGGCGGGGGGGAUGACGGGCUUCGGGUUGUAAACUCCUUUCGACAGAGAGGAAGCCACGUGGUUGGAAGGGUGGUGACGGUAGUGGUAGAAGAAGCACCGGCUAACUACGUG
This 494-nucleotide ribosomal RNA is filed under the name uncultured bacterium. RNAcentral's name for it is "partial 16S ribosomal RNA". It matches the Rfam family "Bacterial small subunit ribosomal RNA", at positions 28 to 507 of the family's 1533-position model. The record is from RNAcentral.